AGCGCGCUACAUACGGAGCGGCAGACGGUGAGAGUAACACGUGAGGAACGUGCCCUUCAGUCCUGGAACAACCCAGGGAAACUUGGGCUAAUACCGGAUACGUCCGUAAGGAGAAAGAUUUAUCGCUGAAGGAUCGGCCCGCGUCUGAUUAGCUUGUUGGUGAGGUAACGGCUCACCAAGGCGACGAUCAGUAGCUGGUCUGAGAGGAUGAUCAGCCUCACUGGGACUGAGACACGGCCCAGACUCCUACGGGAGGCAGCAGUGGGGAAUAUUGGACAAUGGGCGCAAGCCUGAUCCAGCCAUGCCGCGUGGAUGAUGAAGGCCCUAGGGUUGUAAAGUCCUUUCGGCGGGGAAGAUAAUGACGGUACCCGCAGAAGAAGCCCCGGCUAACUUCGUGCCAGCAGCCGCGGUAAU
RNAcentral lists this ribosomal RNA (414 nucleotides) under uncultured bacterium. RNAcentral describes it as "bacterial SSU rRNA". It matches the Rfam family "Bacterial small subunit ribosomal RNA", at positions 65 to 524 of the family's 1533-position model. The record is from RNAcentral.